RNAcentral lists this long non-coding RNA (1005 nucleotides) under Coturnix japonica (Japanese quail). Its description in RNAcentral is "lncRNA (ENSCJPG00005003240.1)". The record is from RNAcentral. Lineage: Eukaryota; Metazoa; Chordata; Aves; Galliformes; Phasianidae.
AUAAAGAAAAAAGAUCCGUCAGUUUGAAGAUUUGUAUCCGAACACAAGGAUUUGUAUUCUGUCCAUCCAACAGUCUUGGCCUAUCUGGUUCAUUCCAUUUGCAGAACCUCCAAUUUUCUGGACUCUGAUGUGCUCUGAUAAACAGACAUGGAAGUCAUAGUUUUCUCAUGUCCAAAGGAACACAUAGGCAAUUUUGAAAAGGAAAAUGUGAAGCUUAGCAAAGCUUUGUUCCAGAAGAACAUCUUUAAACUACACUUCUGUGUCCCUGGUCCUUGCUACUGUGGUUUAAAAGAAUGCCUGCAGCACUGAUGAAUGAAUGAUUUACUGGUCAUCCCCUUACAGCACUGAAACUGGAAAAUACAGAACAAGGAAAAAGGCUGAUUCAGGGCUAACUACUAAAUGGACUUACCCUUAGGAAAGGAACUAAUUACUGUCUGGAAUUUACUUCACAAGAGGAAACUGGAACCCCAGCUUCCCCAGAGCUUAAUCUCCAUACCUGUAAAAUGGGACCAUAGCAAAUACUGCAUCCUAAAUCAUCUUGCAGAGCAUGGAGAUACUCUUCCUGGAGGCGACAGACAGCGGGAGCCAGAGCCACUCUUGGUCCUUAGCAGAACUUUCUAAUUCAUUUUGCUUCUCAUUGCAUGCCCCAGCUGCCCUGUUACGAUGAACCAAUGUACUCUGUUUCCUCCAAGGCCACAUUUUGUAGCAUGCAAUGCUUCUCGGUGAAGUAUAAUAUGGCAAGGCAAAAUCUGAUUCACCCACUUUAUGCCAUAGCUCAUGUACGGUGCACAUGAGCAAUUGUUUCCAUGAAGUCUGUACUCGCUUUGUUUCUUUUCCAUCCUGUCUGUCUCUCAUGUCUUCUAUCUCUGUCUUUAGGGCAGCAAUCUAAAAGGGAAAAAUUGCUUAACUGUUCAUUGCAUGCAGUUAAAAACUCCUGAAAAGGAUGAGCUGGAUGGUAUUACAGAUACAGCAGGAAUAAAACUGGUUAGAGCAAAUUGUUGCCCA